This 351-nucleotide ribosomal RNA is filed under the name Cryptophagus sp. BYU CO146. RNAcentral describes it as "partial 12S ribosomal RNA". Lineage: Eukaryota; Metazoa; Arthropoda; Insecta; Coleoptera; Cryptophagidae. The record is from RNAcentral.
UGUAAAUGUAAAGUUAUUGCUAAAUUAGUAUUAGUUAUUUUCUUGAAAAUUAAAGAAUUUGGCGGUAUUUUAGUCCAUUCAGAGGAACCUGUCCUAUAAUUGAUAUUCCACAAUUUAUUUUACUUAUUUUAAUUAAUUUAUAUAUCGUCGUAGGUAGAAUAUUUUUAAAAAAAUAAAAUAUUCAAAAUUUAUAAUUUUAAAAAAAAUCAGAUCAAGGUGUAGUUUAUAAAUAAGAAGAGAUGGGUUACAAUAAAUUUAUUUAAAUGGAUAAAAUUUUGAAAAUGUUUUUGAAAGUGGAUUUGAAAGUAAUUUAAAUUAAUUUAUUUAAAUGAUUUUGGCUCUAAAAUAUGU